CAGCCGCCGCGGUAAUACAGAGGGUGCGAGCGUUAAUCGGAUUUACUGGGCGUAAAGCGUGCGUAGGCGGCUUCUUAAGUCGGAUGUGAAAUCCCUGAGCUUAACUUAGGAAUUGCAUUCGAUACUGGGAAGCUAGAGUAUGGGAGAGGAUGGUAGAAUUCCAGGUGUAGCGGUGAAAUGCGUAGAGAUCUGGAGGAAUACCGAUGGCGAAGGCAGCCAUCUGGCCUAAUACUGACGCUGGGGUACGAAAGCAUGGGGAGCAAACAGGAUUAGAGACCCCCGUAGUCCCUGUCUCUUAUAC
RNAcentral lists this ribosomal RNA (301 nucleotides) under uncultured bacterium. RNAcentral's name for it is "partial 16S ribosomal RNA". It matches the Rfam family "Bacterial small subunit ribosomal RNA", at positions 509 to 807 of the family's 1533-position model. The record is from RNAcentral.